GUAAAACUUCCGGUAUAUCUUCCAAAAAAACUCUUGAUAUAUCUGCAGUUUGUGCAAUUGGAAGUGCAUUUAUCUUGUUUAAAGUAAACUUUCAAUGGAAAACAGCUAGGACAAACUACUGGUUAAUUAAAUUAUUUUGUGCAGUGAAUGUUUAAAAAAAAAUUUUAAAUUUAAAAGUUCUAAGGCGCCACUACCUAAACUGAUGUUUAUAUUCCUCUCUUUUACUUAUAUCUUUUCACUGCCAGAUCUUUCCCUGCAGCAUCUGAAGAGCAGUAAUAGCAGCUGUAUUCACCUGCUCUGCUCAUGGGAGAGUGAGAAUCCUGAGCCGGUGAACUUCACCUGGUUUAGAAACGGUCAUGAUUCUCUUCUGUCCUCUUCUGUGGGAAAAAACAGUGAGCUGUAUCUGUGUCAACCAGGAUGGGAAAAAAACGACACGUUUACCUGCCAAGCAAGCAUCAACAAAGCACUUUACAACAGGAGUAUAGAGGUGACGCAAAGCACAGAUUCUAAACCGAGCUUUCCAGUUAUUCGUGUGUCCUUUUACAUCAUCUUCAUCAUCUUCAUCACCGUCAUCUGGAUACUGUUAUGCAUGUUCAAAUGUAACGGCAUGACCUUCUGCAAACCAUCAGCAUGAAAAGAGAAGACAGGAAUAAAAUACACUCAAUGAUUUGUUUUUACACUGAUUUUUCCGUGUAUAUAUUUUCAUUGCUGAUAUUUCUGCUACUUUCUUUUUCCUUUACUCUAGGUAUUACUUCUAAAUAAAUGCAAUUCAGUUUAAAGGUCACAAGUGGUGCAGUAUAGCACCUAUGUAUAACCUUAAGUAGUGCUAUAGUAGUGUUAUACCACGUGUUAUGGUUUGCAUAGGUGCUAUAUAAGUUGUUUACUUAUGAUUACGAGCCAAUGAACCAUUUUUUAGCACCAUUUAUUAUGUGUACCCAUAAACCUGUAAAUAAAUGUUUAUUUAGAUUUUUACUUAUCCCAAAUGUAUGUAAUUUACAAAGCUUUAUCUUGUGCAGAUUGUAGAAACUCCUCUUUUAAAUAAACAUGAG
Molecule: long non-coding RNA, 1049 nt
Organism: Paramisgurnus dabryanus
Lineage: Eukaryota; Metazoa; Chordata; Actinopteri; Cypriniformes; Cobitidae
Source: RefSeq, a predicted model, not a curated record